Molecule: transfer RNA, 75 nt
Filed under: bacterium ADurb.Bin374
Lineage: Bacteria
Also listed under: 1 other name
Description: tRNA-Pro
Rfam family: tRNA
About the family: Transfer RNA (tRNA) molecules are approximately 80 nucleotides in length. Their secondary structure includes four short double-helical elements and three loops (D, anti-codon, and T loops).
Source: RNAcentral
CGGGGCGUAGCGCAGUUGGUAGCGCGCAUGGUUCGGGACCAUGAAGUCGCUGGUUCGAGUCCAGUCGCCCCGACC